This 22-nucleotide ribosomal RNA is filed under the name uncultured Bulleidia sp. RNAcentral describes it as "partial 23S ribosomal RNA". Lineage: Bacteria; Bacillati; Bacillota; Erysipelotrichia; Erysipelotrichales; Erysipelotrichaceae. The record is from RNAcentral.
NUAAAUGAAGCAGAGCGUACGG